Molecule: ribosomal RNA, 568 nt
Filed under: uncultured bacterium
Lineage: Bacteria
Description: bacterial SSU rRNA
Rfam family: Bacterial small subunit ribosomal RNA
Source: RNAcentral
AACAGGAUUAGAUACCCUGGUAGUCCACGCCGUAAACGAUGUCGACUUGGAGGUUGUGCCCUUGAGGCGUGGCUUCCGGAGCUAACGCGUUAAGUCGACCGCCUGGGGAGUACGGCCGCAAGGUUAAAACUCAAAUGAAUUGACGGGGGCCCGCACAAGCGGUGGAGCAUGUGGUUUAAUUCGAUGCAACGCGAAGAACCUUACCUACUCUUGACAUCCAGAGAACUUAGCAGAGAUGCUUUGGUGCCUUCGGGAACUCUGAGACAGGUGCUGCAUGGCUGUCGUCAGCUCGUGUUGUGAAAUGUUGGGUUAAGUCCCGCAACGAGCGCAACCCUUAUCCUUUGUUGCCAGCGGUUAGGCCGGGAACUCAAAGGAGACUGCCAGUGAUAAACUGGAGGAAGGUGGGGAUGACGUCAAGUCAUCAUGGCCCUUACGAGUAGGGCUACACACGUGCUACAAUGGCGCAUACAAAGAGAAGCGUACCUCGCGAGAGCAAGCGGACCUCAUAAAGUGCGUCGUAGUCCGGAUUGGAGUCUCAACUCGACUCCAUGAAGUCGGAAUCGCUGGG